This is a non-coding RNA of Desarmillaria ectypa, 98 nucleotides long. Lineage: Eukaryota; Fungi; Basidiomycota; Agaricomycetes; Agaricales; Physalacriaceae. The record is from the annotation of a GenBank genome assembly.
GCCCGCCUAGCUCAAUCGGAUAGAGCGUCAGACUCUUAAACUGUCAGGCGGCUUACGCGCACAUCUGAAGGCUGUGGGUUCGACCCCCACGGUGGGCU